Molecule: non-coding RNA, 3109 nt
Organism: Vicugna pacos (alpaca)
Lineage: Eukaryota; Metazoa; Chordata; Mammalia; Artiodactyla; Camelidae
Source: RefSeq, a predicted model, not a curated record
GCUGGGUGACUGGCUCUCUAGGUCUGGGAGGCGGGGCAGGAGAGCAUGAUGUGCAGUGUCCGCCACCUUCCGCGGUGUAAACACUCCCGCACGGACGCUUCAGGCUCCCAGUGCAGUCACCGCCCAUCAGCUGGGAGGAGGUGCUCGCAGGCGGUUCCCAGGAGCCCACCAGAGCUAGUCCCAGUCACCGCUGGUCCUUGCCCCCUUCCCUCCCAGCCCUGCUGCCUUCUCUGUGUUGGUUAAGACUCCUUUUUGGUUGCACGUGGCUGAAACUCAAAUUACCUUCAGCAACGAAGAGGGAAACUUAUUGGCUCAGAUCCUGAAACGUCCAGGCAUGGCUGGGUCAGACUGUCCCUCGCUCAGCUCUGCCUUCCUCUGGGGGGAUUUGUACCCAGCAGGGGUUCCCAGAUGGGGUCGCUUCCCAGGAGAGUGGCACCGAGGGCAGCGUCUCUGUCCCCACGACUGCAGCACUGACCCAGGCUGCUGGUCAUCACCCCACUUCGGUCACUCGUGUAAGGCAAGGCCGCCGCAGUGACCGAGGGUGAGCCCGCCUGGAGCAAGAGGGACCGAGAAGGGAGGGCCACAGGGGUGCUGUUCCCAGAAGAGAGGCACACCCAUGCUCUCCUGGGAGCCCCCCAUUUGCUGUUGAAUCUGAACUGACCUCACCCACCCUGAUUCUGGUCACCCUCAAAUUCAGGGCUUUCUCUGCCCUGUUGCAGCCAGGCCUCUGCACUGACCUGGUCCUGACCCCCACUUUUUGGCUCCUCCACCACCUUCUCAAUCUGGUUCAAAAUGACCGCCCCCCACUGCCCUGCACAGUCUGAAAGAAUUAUCUGGGUGUCUCUCCCGGGCCAUAUAAAUUAGUUGGAUAAUCCCCUCCAUGGCUUAGGUCCACACAAGCCAAUCUGGUUUCACUUUACUUGUCAUUUCCCCAAAAGCCCAGUUUCCUCUUUCUCUCCUGCUCAGUUUCACAUGGCCACCCCCCAUCUCCAGCCUGCAGCCCCCUCUGUCAGAUUUUCUGUCUCCUUUGUUCACCUCCAAUAGAAACUGGGAGCUGCUGGGAGCAAAGGAAAUAGAAAUUGCCGCUGAAAGAUGGGAAGAACACAAAAAAGUUUUGCAGUAAAAAAUGAAAAUAGUGAGGCAGUCCCAUAAUUUUAAAAACACCCAAAAAACCCUGCAUAGAUGGGAAAGGAAGAGCCCCAGGAGCAGAAAGGAUAUGAGUGGAGAAGGCAGAUGGGGCAGAUGUCAUUUUGCACAGAAUGUGGUCCCUCUGGUCAGGUCGUGCCGACAGGUGAGCACCAGGAACUCGGAGGGAACCAGAGCUGGGGACCGAGGGCAUUCCCGUCCGCAUCUGUCCAGUGUUUCCAGCGGGAGGGACAGGAGUACUGGGACAUUGAAGCCAGGCAGAGAUGAUGAACAUCAGAGGUGGAGGUGGCAGCUCUUCUCAAGGAAUGUGAGGGCUGACCGGCCAGAGGAAGGGCUGGGGGGAGACGCUUGCAGGAGGGGAGGAGGCGGAAAGGAAGACAGCACCAGCCCCACACGGACCCGUGGUCGUGCUCCACGGACCCCUCACUGGUGAGGCCCCCUCGCCCCAGCACGCGGGUAUCCUUGUCCUGGAGGGGUGGUGCCGCUCCUUCCACCACGUGGGCAGCGCAGGUGCAGAAAGCAGGAUGGAAGGUCAAGGGCCAGAGGCCACAGAUGGAUCCCGCUGCUUCUUGAGGAGACGCCUGUGUUCUCGAAGUCAGGUCCUAAACUACUACCAGUAGUGAUGGUCAUCGCUGCUGCCAGGUGCUCUGAGUGUCCAUACGGGGCAAAUAAGUGUGCGAAUCAGGGUCCACAUUUCAGGGCACUGAAUUCUCACGGUAACCCCCAGAGGUGGGUAAAUAUCCCCAUGUCCGGGAAGAGGACCUCCAUAUCCAGUAUUCGAACUGCAGGCUGUUUCUAAAUCCCACUCCCUGCCAUCCACAGAAAAGCAAAGAAGCCAACACCGUAGGGCUGAGUCCUGGGAGCUCAGAUGCCCAGUUGACCCCCUCCCACCCACUUGGCCGUGUGGAGUCAGUAGCCCAGCAGAUGGAAGGACCCUCCUCCGUUGGGGGCAGCUCAUCUUCCUCCUGAAGGGCUCAGGGAACAGGGAGCACAGCGUGGUGGUCAGGGCUCAGCUCUGGAGCCGCGUGGCGUGAGCGUGUCUGCUGACCUCUCUGACCCUCAGUCUCCUCUUCUAUAAGCUGAAGUCUGAUACCCACUCAGUGGGAGGAGUGGAACAGGCCCGUGUGCAGUGGGAGGAGUGAGCAUUCAAUCCAGUUCCGUCAGUGAGAUGGUCAAAACGCGGCAGGGCUGUGCUCUGCUCCCGGGUCCCGCCAGAGGGAGUACGGAGACGGCACGGAGGCGGCACUGGCCAGGCCUCUCGCUUUCUGACCACAGAGGACUCUGUUUGCGUGAUCCUGUCCAUCAGCUGCAGGAGGGAUGCUAACAGGCCCUGGCUAUGGCUCCUUCCAGCACCAAAGUGAAUUGUAAGCCACGUGUGAAGUGAAGCCAGUCAUGGCCUUUGAUCAUCUAAAUGACCACUGACAAUGAGUCCCAGUGCCAGCAGGGCAGGUCCUGCGCCCGAGUCCCUGAGCACCGUUCUCCAGUGUCUGCUCCUGGAGGGGACGCAUGCUCGCAGACCGGUGUGGCUUUGGAGUUCACAAAGCUCACAGAUUCUCUUCCAUCAGUCGGGGAUCUUUGGCCAAAACACCUGUCUCCAGCACACAGGCCAAAAGGGAGAUGCCCAGAAGAAUUUGGAGGGUCCCUGCUGGAAAGGCAGGCUGAAGGUGGGCCCUGGAGCCAGGUCAGGAACUGCUUUGCACCCAUGCGGGACCCAGGUCCCAGGAGAUCCUUCUCUCUGGCCGGGUCAGGUGAGGGGCCUGAGGUGGGCGUGAGCUGGUGGUUCCCAGACUUGCACGGGGGAAGACAGGUUCUAGGAAGGGAACCCUGUGCUCUCAGGAAGGCGACUGUGGCUACUGGGUCCAGAGAAGACACCUUGACCAGGAAGAAGGGACACGAUUGUCACAUUUUUAUCCUGGGCAGUUACUUUUCACUGCAAAUUUGUAAACUGGCAAUACGGCUCCUA